CCUACGGGAGGCAGCAGUAGGGAAUAUUGCUCAAUGGGGGAAACCCUGAAGCAGCAACGCCGCGUGGAGGAUGAAGGUUUUCGGAUUGUAAACUCCUUUUGUUAGAGAAGAUAAUGACGGUAUCUAACGAAUAAGCACCGGCUAACUCUGUGCCAGCAGCCGCGGUAAUACGGAGGGUGCAAGCGUUACUCGGAAUCACUGGGCGUAAAGAGCGCGUAGGCGGGUUAGCAAGUCAGAUGUGAAAGCCUAUGGGUUAACCAUAGAACUGCAUUUGAAACUGUUAACCUAGAGUAUAGGAGAGGAGGGUGGAAUUCUAGGUGUAGGGGUAAAAUCCGUAGAGAUAAGGAGGAAUACUCGUUGCGAAGGCGACCUGCUAGAACGUAACUGACGCUGAUGCGCGAAAGCGUGGGGAGCAAACAGGAUUAGAUACCCGUGUAGUC
RNAcentral lists this ribosomal RNA (440 nucleotides) under uncultured bacterium. RNAcentral's name for it is "partial 16S ribosomal RNA". It matches the Rfam family "Bacterial small subunit ribosomal RNA", at positions 338 to 795 of the family's 1533-position model. The record is from RNAcentral.